CAGUCGCCGCGGGAAUACGAAGGGUGCAAGCGUUACUCGGAAUUACUGGGCGUAAAGCGUGCGUAGGUGGUGGUUUAAGUCCGUUGUGAAAGCCCUGGGCUCAACCUGGGAAUUGCAGUGGAUACUGGGUCACUAGAGUGUGGUAGAGGAUAGUGGAAUUUCCGGUGUAGCAGUGAAAUGCGUAGAGAUCGGAAGGAACAUCUGUGGCGAAGGCGACUAUCUGGGCCAACACUGACACUGAGGCACGAAAGCGUGGGGAGCAAACAAGAUUAGAUACCCGUGUAGUCCCUGUCUCUUAUAC
Molecule: ribosomal RNA, 301 nt
Filed under: uncultured bacterium
Lineage: Bacteria
Description: partial 16S ribosomal RNA
Rfam family: Bacterial small subunit ribosomal RNA
Source: RNAcentral